RNAcentral lists this ribosomal RNA (208 nucleotides) under uncultured Eubacteriales bacterium. Its description in RNAcentral is "uncultured Clostridiales bacterium partial 16S ribosomal RNA". It matches the Rfam family "Bacterial small subunit ribosomal RNA", at positions 568 to 775 of the family's 1533-position model. The record is from RNAcentral. Lineage: Bacteria; Bacillati; Bacillota; Clostridia; Eubacteriales.
CGUGUAGGCGGUUUUGCAAGUCAGAUGUGAAAUUCCCAGGCUUAACCUGGGCGCUGCACCUGAAACUGCAAGACUUGAGUACUGGAGAGGAUAGUGGAAUUCCUAGUGUAGCGGUAAAAUGCGCAGAUAUUAGGAGGAACACCGGUGGCGAAGGCGACUAUCUGGACAGUAACUGACGCUGAGGCGCGAAAGCGUGGGGAGCAAACAG